UGAUUGACAUCCUAAAAAAAAAAGCAAAAAAAAAAAAAAAACAACCAACCAACAGCCUUCCUUGAUUGACAAUCUGUUUUUGAAUUCCUAGACGGCACUCGACUGGGCAGUGAAGCACGGCAAUCUUGAGAUGGCAGAGAUGGUCGCCAAAGCAGGCGUCGAUGUCAAUGCUAAAUCGUAAUACUUUAAUACACCUAU
This 198-nucleotide long non-coding RNA is filed under the name Phasianus colchicus (ring-necked pheasant). RNAcentral's name for it is "lncRNA (ENSPCLG00000020655.1)". Lineage: Eukaryota; Metazoa; Chordata; Aves; Galliformes; Phasianidae. The record is from RNAcentral.